UUUGAAAUUAGAACCAACAGGCCCGGAUAUCUUGGCGUUCCCCCUGGUUCUGAGGGCUGUUUGGGUACUCAGCAAAGCUAGGGUUGAAUUUAGUUUCCGUCGCUGUUCAUUCUACACUGCGUACUGAGUACCCACUGUGUGGCAGGUGCUGGAGUUACCAAGCUCUUGAAAAAGUUUUUAGAAAUUUGUUUUGAGACAGGGUCUCACUAUGUAGAUCAGGCUGGCCUUGCUUUCACUGUUGUAGCCCUGGCUGGCCUCCAUUCACCUGCCUUAGUAUCCUGAGUGCUGGAGUUACAGGCAUGUGUCCCUACAGCUAGCUAGAAACUCUUAACACCAUUAUUUGACAGCUUUUGGGAUAUUCUCCACUCCCAGCAGCAUUAUAAUUUUUUACUGCCACAAGAAUUUUUUAACUUCUUUACUACGGCAAUAAUUGCACACUGGACUACAGAUGAACACCAGGUUCCUGCUCUAGAAAGUAUGGGGCCCAUGCUGGGGACACAAUGAAGUAUAAGAUGGUGAGUGGAUAAGGCAGGGUCCCACUAUAUAAUUCAGGCUGGCCUUGAAUUUACCAGGAAGCCAAAGUUGGCCUGGAACACAAGAUGAUCCUCCUGUCUCAGCCUCCUGAGUUCUGGGAUUACAGGAAUUGACUAAUAAAACGAUGAAAAUAAAAAAAAUGGAUCUACCUCUGCAAUGCCUGGUAUUCGAAGUCGGGCAGAAUGAAUAUUUAGCUUAUCUUCUUUGAAGUCUGAGGUUUCAUAUAUUUUUCCUUUUGGAUCCUGAAGAAUAAUUUCUGGCUUCCUUCUUGUCCAGACUUUUGGGGAGCUCAAGUCGUGAAUAUUAAGUUUAAGAUGAAGGAAACAAAGUGUGGCAAUGUCUAGCUCCCUAGAUGAAUGACAUGAAGAUUAAAUGAAUUAAGAGAUACAGAGGAAUUACUUCUAAAUGUUAAAGGGAAGAUCUACAUGCCUCAACUUUUCUCAUGCUUCCAAGUGUGAAAUACAAACUAUAUGUACAGCAUUUGGAAAUUUAUUUUUGAGAGCCAAUGAGGUAGACUGGAGGAAGAAAUAAAAGAUUCUGCAGUCUAAGAAGACUGAGCUAGCCAGGUCUGGGAUUGGAGCCUGGAGACUGAAAUGCCAUCACUACCAGAUUCAUCACUGACAAAUCUGCUUGGACUUGCUGCUGAUGACUGAUGGGGCUCCGGGCCCACUGCCCACAUUCAAGUGUCCUUCUCAGAGCCCCAAGUCCCACUAGAGGUCUCAGGUUCUCACUGUGGCACAGGCUGGCCUUGAACUCACAGCAAUCCUGCUGCCUCAGCCUCCUGAGUGCUAGGAUUACAGGUAAAGGCAUCCAAGUAAGAUACCUUCUUAAUUAGCCAAAUAUUCAGAUGGCAGAGGGCAAAGAAAGGAAAGCACUUGCAGUUCCCCGAGAACAGAGAUUGUGCCUGGUUUGAUUCUGGUCUCCAGUUCCUGGUACAGCAUUCUCAGAGCAGGAGCACAAGAGAAGGUGCACUGCUGUCAGCCCAGACAGUAACACAGUCCUAUCCGGAGCCCAGAAAGGAUAGAAAACACUUUAACCUGUUUCAAUGCUCAUCUGUGUGACUGCUGGAUCCGCAGAUGGUCCCAAGGCAAUAAAAUGAAUGACGAUCCCGCUUUCUUUCACUUUAUUAACACAAUUGCUUGCACCGUUGUCUUCCCCAUCAGUCAGCAGCAGUAUUUCAGACCCACUCAACUGGAAGCUUGCAUUUGUAAUCACCUGCAAAUGUAUUCAGGCACAUUAAGCACUGUAGGUCAAACAGAUCAUUGGGAAAGUAGACAAAUAUGAAGAAAAUAAAGAAAAAUAUGUAGAGGGCUGGGGAUAUAACUCAGUGGCAUAAGUGCCUGCCUGGCAAGGGCAAAGUCAUGACUUUGAUCCCUGAUACCCCCAAAAAAUGUAGAGUAGAAGAGAAUCUUUGUUUUAAAGUCAGAAUCCACAAUCAAUAUCUGGCUUAUCAUUUUUCUAUUUAUUUGGACUGGAUAUUGAACCAGCAUCACUGCACUGAACUAUAUCCACAGCCCACUUGGUCUUUAAUUUGGGACAAGGUUCCUCUAAGUCACUUCAGUUUGGCUCGAACUUGUGCUGUGUCUGACUCAGCCUCCUAGAGUGCUGGGGCACGUACUAACUUAUCUAGUUGUCCUAAGGAAUUGGGGAUAUGAAUGUUUUGUUGCCCCCUGUUGCAGGCAGUAUUUAUCCAAAUGAACACUGUAUCCCAAAAGAGCAUUGUCUGGCUAAAAUUUCAUGUACUACAUCAAACAGGAGUAGUAAAAGUGAACAUUCUGUCCAUACCUGAUUUUAGAGGAAAUGCUUCCAGUUUUUCCUCAUUCAGCAUAAAACUGCAGAAGUUAAUUCAUCUAAUAUGUCAGUCCAUCUAAUAUGUAACCAAAGAGUCAAUUCCAAUUAAACCAUUGGUGGAUAAAUGUUGGUGGUUUGGGAAAUGCUGCUUACAUUAAACAAGGCCUUCAUCACAGCCUAGGAAACUCAAAUCAUUUAGACACCCCAAAAGUACUUUAAAAAAAACUCUCAUUCUCUUUACUCUCCUCUUAGAAGCCUUUAGUAUACAAAGUUUGUGGUCUGUAUAGCUCGAUUCAUUAAUAAUCCACCUUAACAUAAAAAUGUCAUUGAUUCCAAAUCAGAAAAUUCCUAGCAUGCUUGUAAGUAAAAGAAAAGUUCAGUUCUAAACAUAGUGAGGUUUGAGAUUUAUUGGAUAACUAUUAAUUUCCUUCUAGGAGAGGCUAAUGUAAAAGUAAGCAAUGUUAGUGAUGAUCAAAGACCAAAUGAGAAAUGUUUCUUGGGUUCUGUUUGUAGCUUCAAUGCCUUACUUAUAAUAGUCUCACAUUUUCAAAGUCAGAGUUUUGAAUCUAGCUGCCCAUGGAGAGGAGAAAAGUAUUUUAACUAGAAACUGCAAUGCAUUUUAUUUUCUCUGUUUGCUUUGAGUUUCCAGGAACAUUUUCUUUUCUUUUUUUUUAGGUGCCAGGGAUCCAACGCAUGACCUCGAGAUUGCCAGGCAGGUGUUUAAGCUACUGAGCUAAAUCCCCAGCCCCUCUGUUUGCUUUAAUUGAUAAUGGCUUCCUUAGUACCAUUUUGAGAAUCGGAUUCUAGCAAAAGAAAAAAGAAUGACAUGCCAGAUGACCAGCCAAUUUCUUGGACUUGGAGAAGAGGUACAUGUAGAAUCAGGGAGGAGAGUUGAGAUGCAGAAAUCCCUAAUAAAGCUGGAAUCAGAGAAAAAAUUCAUUGUUCACAUUAGAAAUUUUGCAUGCCAUGAGACAAAGUGUUAUAUAUAUGAAAAAUACAUUUUGAUAUGCAUUGAACCAAACUGAAAUAAACAUUUAUGGCAUUAA
Molecule: long non-coding RNA, 3371 nt
Organism: Cavia porcellus (domestic guinea pig)
Lineage: Eukaryota; Metazoa; Chordata; Mammalia; Rodentia; Caviidae
Exons: 10
Source: RefSeq, a predicted model, not a curated record